UGAGGAAUAUUGGUCAAUGGGCGGGAGCCUGAACCAGCCAAGCCGCGUGAGGGAUGAAGGCCCUGUGGGUCGUAAACCUCUUUUGUCAGGGAACAAAAGCGAGUAUGUAUACUAGUCUGAGUGUACCUGAAGAAAAAGCAUCGGCUAACUCCGUGCCAGCAGCCGCGGUAAUACGGAGGAUGCGAGCGUUAUCCGGAUUUAUUGGGUUUAAAGGGUGCGUAGGCGGCGGUGCAAGUCAGCGGUAAAAGCCCGGGGCUCAACCCCGGCGAGCCGUUGAAACUGCAGUGCUAGAGAAGGCGAGAGGUACGCGGAAUGCGCAGUGUAGCGGUGAAAUGCUUAGAUAUUGCGCAGAACUCCGAUUGCGAAGGCAGCGUACUGGCGCCUGACUGACGCUGAGGCACGAAAGCGUGGGGAUCGAACAGGAUUAGAUACC
Molecule: ribosomal RNA, 433 nt
Filed under: uncultured bacterium
Lineage: Bacteria
Description: bacterial SSU rRNA
Rfam family: Bacterial small subunit ribosomal RNA
Source: RNAcentral